GAUGAACGCUGGCGGCGUGCCUAAUACAUGCAAGUCGAACGCUGGAAAUCUAGCUUGCUAGAUUGAAGGAGUGGCGAACGGGUGAGUAAUACAUAAGCAACCUACCCACGAAGACUGGGAUAAUCUCUGGAAACGGGGACUAAUACCGGAUAGGUAAUCGGAAGGCAUCUUCUGAUUAUUAAAGGUUAAAAACACUGGUGGAUGGGCUUAUGGCGCAUUAGUUAGUUGGUGAGGUAACGGCCCACCAAGACGAUGAUGCGUAGCCGGCCUGAGAGGGUGAACGGCCACAUUGGGACUGAGACACGGCCCAGACUCCUACGGGAGGCAGCAGUAGGGAAUUUUCGGCAAUGGGGGAAACCCUGACCGAGCAACGCCGCGUGAGUGAUGACGGCCUUCGGGCUGUAAAGCUCUGUUGUAAGGGAAGAACGGUAGAUAGAGAAUAUCUAAAUGACGGUACCUUACCAGAAAGCCACGGCUAACUACGUG
Molecule: ribosomal RNA, 486 nt
Filed under: uncultured bacterium
Lineage: Bacteria
Description: partial 16S ribosomal RNA
Rfam family: Bacterial small subunit ribosomal RNA
Source: RNAcentral